GACGAACGCUGGCGGCGUGCUUAACACAUGCAAGUCGAACGGAAAGGCCCUGCUUUUGUGGGGUGCUCGAGUGGCGAACGGGUGAGUAACACGUGAGUAACCUGCCCUUGACUUUGGGAUAACUUCAGGAAACUGGGGCUAAUACCGGAUAGGAGCUCCUGCUGCAUGGUGGGGGUUGGAAAGUUUCGGCGGUUGGGGAUGGACUCGCGGCUUAUCAGCUUGUUGGUGGGGUAGUGGCUUACCAAGGCUUUGACGGGUAGCCGGCCUGAGAGGGUGACCGGCCACAUUGGGACUGAGAUACGGCCCAGACUCCUACGGGAGGCAGCAGUGGGGAAUAUUGCACAAUGGGGCGGGAAGCCUGAAUGCAGCAAACGCCCGGCGUGCGGGGAUGGACCGGGCCUUUCGGGGUUGUAAAA
RNAcentral lists this ribosomal RNA (416 nucleotides) under Cutibacterium acnes. Its description in RNAcentral is "bacterial SSU rRNA". It matches the Rfam family "Bacterial small subunit ribosomal RNA", at positions 28 to 430 of the family's 1533-position model. Lineage: Bacteria; Bacillati; Actinomycetota; Actinomycetes; Propionibacteriales; Propionibacteriaceae. The record is from RNAcentral.